UGGGGAAUUUUGGACAAUGGGGAACCCUGAUCCAGCCAUCCCGCGUGUGCGAUGAAGGCCUUCGGGUUGUAAAGCACUUUUGGCAGGAAAGAAACGUCGUGGGUUAAUACCCCGCGAAACUGACGGUACCUGCAGAAUAAGCACCGGCUAACUACGUGCCAGCAGCCGCGGUAAUACGUAGGGUGCAAGCGUUAAUCGGAAUUACUGGGCGUAAAGCGUGCGCAGGCGGUUCGGAAAGAAAGAUGUGAAAUCCCAGAGCUUAACUUUGGAACUGCAUUUUUAACUACCCGGGCUAGAGUGUGUCAGAGGGAGGUGGAAUUCCGCGUGUAGCAGUGAAAUGCGUAGAUAUGCGGAGGAACACCGAUGGCGAAGGCAGCCUCCUGGGAUAACACUGACGCUCAUGCACGAAAGCGUGGGGAGCAAACAGGAUUAGAUACCCUGGUAGUCCACGCCCCUAAAGCGAUGUCAACUAGCUGUUGGGGUCUUCGACCUUGGUAGCGCAGCUAACGCGUGAAGUUGACCGCCUGGGGAGUACGGUCG
This 540-nucleotide ribosomal RNA is filed under the name uncultured bacterium. RNAcentral's name for it is "partial 16S ribosomal RNA". It matches the Rfam family "Bacterial small subunit ribosomal RNA", at positions 355 to 888 of the family's 1533-position model. The record is from RNAcentral.